CUGAGCCUGGUCACAGCUCUCCAGGCACCCCAGCUGGCCAGGCAGUGGGGAAGUGAUUGUGAUUUCAUGUCCUCCAGCCCCAGCUGGUGAAAAGGAAUCUUGGUACCUUGAGAAAUAAAUCACUUGGAGGCUCAAAAAAAGGGACAAUAUAUUCACAAAUCUCUUAGGAGAAUGCAGGGAGCCAAGAGAAGGGACAGAACUGAAAAGACCCUGCCCCGCUCAAAGGAGGGAGCCCAGAAUUGGCUCUGAGUCAAAACCCGAAGAAGGAAUCCAUGCGGAGAGAGUGAGUUGGAAGAGUGAGAAAAUAGCCCCAGUACCUCCUCCCCUACAGAACUUCCUUCAGACGUUGAUCAGAAAGCACUUAUACACUGUGCUGUACAGGACUUUGCAUCCUCUGCUCAACUCAGUAUCUCUUCAGGAGGCAGCAUGGCUCACAGGACAGAAGCAUCAAACAUCUGGUGGUUAAAUGAAUCCAUGAAUGAACAAAACACAAAGAGGAACUGCAAAGAAUGUGGAGCAAAUCCUUAAAAACUCAGGCCCCAGGUCAGUAACAGAAUAUGUGGGAAGUCUUUAAAAAUACCAGUGAGAGCAUUUGAAAGAGCACAGCUGAAAACCACUACUUUUCACACCAGGCUUCAUUCAGAGUUCAAGGCUGUACAUUUUUCUCCCACACAAAUUCAACAGAACACGAAACCACAAGAACUGAGUGUUUUCCAAGUCUGAACCACGGAGUAUGAACUUCAGAAACAAGCUUGAGGAGAAAUGUAUUUGAAAGUACUUCUCUGAAAACCUUUGCAACUCAGUUUCCUGGCUUCAAGGCCCUUGAAUACUUCCAGAUAUUUAACACAUACCAAGUCACCGGUGGCAUUCAAUAAAUAUUCAACAAUGUGAAUACUGUGGUCAAUUUUCUGAGGGGUCUAAGACUUGCUAGAAUUUUCCAGAUGAAUCAUUUCUGCUAUGCAGAUCCCACAUCAAGACCCGUUUCAUAUCUGCCUCCUUCGUCAUGAAAUCCACCAACGCUACCUGCCCGAUCCAGCUUCUGAAUGUCCUAACCCAUGGUCAUUUUUCUGUGUGAUGCAGCUCUGCUGGCAAUACGUGUCCUACAGAGAUUUCCACCAAGGCAGACCUGCUUUCCCAGCGUCCCUUUGGUCCUGAGAUCCUACAACACAACCUCCAGGGUGGAAUUCUCAUGGUUCUGAGAGCAGCCAGCUUCCAGGAAUAUUGCAUGGUGGCUUUUGCUAUUCUGCUUGAAAACAAGAAUCCUUUUUCCCCCAUUGCAU
Chinchilla lanigera (long-tailed chinchilla) is the source of this 1280-nucleotide long non-coding RNA. Ensembl lists it as uncharacterized. Lineage: Eukaryota; Metazoa; Chordata; Mammalia; Rodentia; Chinchillidae. The record is from Ensembl.